Paramuricea clavata is the source of this 264-nucleotide non-coding RNA. NCBI's taxonomy places the organism in Eukaryota, Metazoa, Cnidaria, Anthozoa, Malacalcyonacea, Plexauridae. The record is from the annotation of a GenBank genome assembly.
UUUUAAACGAUGCUGCUUGUCAAGGAAAACUUGCUUUAUUUUAACAUUUCCCGUUCACACGAACAAAUAAAACUUGCCAAGGAAAACUUGUUCUCCUGUACGGGGUUUUACUCUGGAUUAUACUGUUAUUUACUUAAACAUUGUCACGACUGAGUUUGUGGAUUGUUUUUGUAUCGAAAUUUACGUGAAAUAAUUUUGUAAAUGUUACUCCGAGUUCUUUUUGUUUUACAUUUUAUUCACUUUUAAACGAGUAUCUUUAAUAAA